UUAAAUCUAGUGGCAGAGGUACUGUAUAUUGAAGCUCCCUUAUGCUGAUUUGUUCUUGUUCUUUAAUUGUCUUCUAACUUUCCAUACUGUAUAUGCUUACUUAGGUUACUAUACCAAGUCAAAUUAAAGAAUCAGGGUCUAUUUGAUGAGCGGUUUUGCUUCUCAGUUCAGAAGAUCUCGUUCCCUCAUCCAUCACUGCAACACCAGCCAAUUUAACCGCUACGGGUUAGUUUCUCUGAAUCAAUAAACUCUCUCCAGUGUUGGUGAAUAUAAUGGAUUAUUGGAUUCUUCACCUAAUAGGCUGCCACAGACCAUGUCAUUGUCACACAUAACAUGAUUGUAUAUUCCUUUGUGUGUGUGUUUUUUCUGCCUGACCAGAGUCUGCCUCCCAAUACAACCUCUCACAUGUUUCAAAGCCAUCUCAGCAGUAAUGAACUGGGGGCAAAACCCUCACACGAACCCUCUCCAGUAGGCAUCUAGCCAAUGCCCUGAGGGGGAGGCAUCAUCUGCACCUAUCACAGAGGUCCAAGAAAUGUUCAAAUAUUGCAGUAGAAUUCACUUUCAUUUUAUUUAAUCAUGUUUUGUUCUGUUCCUAAAGUGAGCAGGUGUCCACCAGUCCUGCUUGUUACCCACAGCGUGACAUCAAGCUACUCAUAUAUCACGCACAAGACAUUCCUGCGCACCCCUUCCUGCUUCAAGCCACCAUCACGCCACAGGACAGCAGGGGACGCUGUGAUAGCAGUGAAAAGCCUCCAUUCACUAACACUGAAAGAGGAGUUCAGGGAUGCAGCUUGGAUGAACGUCUUCCCUCCAUAAAUGUCCAGCCUGUGCGAGACCCGAUGCUUUGUGGUGAGCACCGAUGGUACAGUGGGAGCCCCAGUGAGA
Scatophagus argus is the source of this 885-nucleotide long non-coding RNA. RefSeq lists it as uncharacterized. The transcript has 3 exons. NCBI's taxonomy places the organism in Eukaryota, Metazoa, Chordata, Actinopteri, Scatophagidae. The record is from RefSeq and is a predicted model, not a curated record.